This is a long non-coding RNA of Perca flavescens (yellow perch), 609 nucleotides long. RefSeq lists it as uncharacterized. Lineage: Eukaryota; Metazoa; Chordata; Actinopteri; Perciformes; Percidae. The transcript has 4 exons. The record is from RefSeq and is a predicted model, not a curated record.
UCCAACACCGCACAGUCGAUCAAACUACUGCAAAUCGACCACAAGGCGGCAAUAUGUCCCACUAAUAACAAUUCACCUUACACGCGAUGCUUCUUUCCCUGCAACAGUUUAAGGUAAACGUGUUUUUAGUUCAAAAAUGUACACCGACUCAGCCAUGCUAAUCAGAAUCAGCUUUAAUGGCCAAGUUCACAGAUGAAACUUUGGGAAAACGGAGACUAUUGAACGAGCCAGGGAACCAUAGCGCUGCCUGCGUCGGUGGGUCAAUGGAAGAUCGGCCAAUAGAGACGAAAACGGUUUACCCUCGUUCACAUUCAAAGCCUCUUUCACAUGGAUUCCACCUUCAACUUCACUGUAAGACUGGCGGACGUCAGAAAAGCACGCAACGCCAAACGUCUCUUCGGAGGAGCGAAGGGGAGAACAGAAGUGAAGCUGCUCCUGUGGAGUACAAUUAACUCGAAAUUGCUGCUUUACCCUCUUGACCCGUCGAGGAUUUUACCUAAAACUGCUUUGAGCCUCCCUCAGUCUGAGGCUAUGAGAGGGAGAGAGGAGUCCCAGGCCGCACCAUCAUGCUACUUCUGAGACGCUGGGAUGAGACUUUGGCUGGCAAAA